RNAcentral lists this ribosomal RNA (306 nucleotides) under uncultured Thermus sp. RNAcentral describes it as "bacterial SSU rRNA". It matches the Rfam family "Bacterial small subunit ribosomal RNA", at positions 1076 to 1382 of the family's 1533-position model. Lineage: Bacteria; Thermotogati; Deinococcota; Deinococci; Thermales; Thermaceae. The record is from RNAcentral.
CGGGUUAAGUCCCGCAACGAGCGCAACCCCCGCCGUUAGUGCCAGCGGUUCGGCCGGGCACCCUAACGGGACUGCCCGCGAAAGCGGGAGGAAGGAGGGGACGACGUCUGGUCAGCAUGGCCCUUACGGCCUGGGCGACACACGUGCUACAAUGCCCACUACAAAGCGAUGCCACCCGGCAACGGGGAGCUAAUCGCAAAAAGGUGGGCCCAGUUCGGAUUGGGGUCUGCAACCCGACCCCAUGAAGCCGGAAUCGCUAGUAAUCGCGGAUCAGCCAUGCCGCGGUCGAAUACGUUCCCGGGCCUU